AGCCAUCAUACAUACAUCUCAGCCCCUAGCCGAGGUUGCAGGUUCAAGCUUGUACCAAGAUCAGGGGUGACUAGUACGAUUAACUGCGAGCGGAAAAGUGGAAGACUGUUGGCGAUGGAAGCUGCAUACCCAUGUCGAAGAACCGAGCACAGGAAGAUGGAGGGAGAAUCAUACCUGGAAUGGGGAAGCGUUGCAAUGCUUAGGCUGCGGUUGCGGCUUUGAGCUUGUAUCCAGAGCGACGGCUGCUGCUCAGACUAGUGAGGGACGCCUUGUGAGCUUGAAAGAUGGCAGAGUUCUUCCGGCCUCAGCAAUGGUGUGAACGGUGUGAAGUGUGGACAGCGAGCAAAAGUGAGAAGGGAGGGGGGAGACCGG
RNAcentral lists this long non-coding RNA (372 nucleotides) under Triticum aestivum (bread wheat). RNAcentral's name for it is "long non-coding RNA (TAES_LNC015918)". Lineage: Eukaryota; Viridiplantae; Streptophyta; Magnoliopsida; Poales; Poaceae. The record is from RNAcentral.